Molecule: ribosomal RNA, 396 nt
Filed under: uncultured bacterium
Lineage: Bacteria
Description: partial 16S ribosomal RNA
Rfam family: Bacterial small subunit ribosomal RNA
Source: RNAcentral
AUACGUAGGUGGCAAGCGUUGUCCGGAAUUAUUGGGCGUAAAGCGCAUGUAGGCGGUUUGGUAAGUCGGUCGUGAGAAUGCGGUGCUUAACGCCGUAUGGCGAUCGAAACUGCUGAACUUGAGUGCAGGAGAGGAAAGGGGAACUCCCAGUGUAGCGGUGAAAUGCGUAGAAAUUGGGAAGAACACCGGGGGCGAAGGCGAUUUUCGGGGCUGUGUCUGAAACUAAGACGCGACAGCAAGGGUAGUAAACGGGAUUAGAGACCCCGGUAAGCCUAGCCGUAAACGAUGUGAACUUGGCGUUGGUGGGGUAAACUCCAUCAGUGCCGAAGCAAACGCGAUAAGUACACCGCCUGGGGACUACGGCCGCAAGGUUAAAACUCAAAGGAAUUGACGGGG